RNAcentral lists this long non-coding RNA (252 nucleotides) under Linum usitatissimum (flax). RNAcentral describes it as "long non-coding RNA (LUSI_LNC006779)". Lineage: Eukaryota; Viridiplantae; Streptophyta; Magnoliopsida; Malpighiales; Linaceae. The record is from RNAcentral.
GAGUCUAGGAGUCAAUAAAGUUGCUAAAUUGAGUAAUUGUAAAAUUAUCUAGUCUCUCUAAGUUGUAGUUUGUGUAUAGUUUUUGGUUAUUCGAAAAAAAGAAGAUAAUCUCGAAGAAAGAAAGGAUAAAAGAAAGGAUACAAAAAAGACCCACUUUGGGAUAAAAAGAAAGAUAAAUAAAAAGAAGAAAGUUCAAAAAUAAAAAAAAGACCGAAAGGGUCUCGAGUUAGUAGAAUAAACGAGUAUAAAAGU